Non-coding RNA from Paramuricea clavata, 247 nucleotides. The record is from the annotation of a GenBank genome assembly. Lineage: Eukaryota; Metazoa; Cnidaria; Anthozoa; Malacalcyonacea; Plexauridae.
CGACUACUCGAAUAAAUUAUUUCUAUACUUGAUUGCUCACAAUUCAAAAGAAACAGGCGAAAUAUUUCGCAUUUCGCCGAGAAAAACCGGUCGUGGAAUCACCGAAUCAGGCCUUUAGAUGUGUUUAUAGAAUCUACAGAACCGCAGUUAUUUUAUUGGUUUGAAAUAUUAUGCUCUAGUGUUAGUGAGAGACGUAAAUUCAGGGGAAUUUCAGUUUAUAAGUAAGAGUUAUAAACCGAGAAGGAGG